GCUUACGGCCAUACCACCCUGAGCACGCCCGAUCUCGUCUGAUCUCGGAAGCUAAGCACGGUCGGGCCUGGAUUAGUACUUGGAUGGGAGACCGCCUGGGAAUACCAGGUGCUGUAAGCU
Molecule: ribosomal RNA, 120 nt
Filed under: Betta splendens (Siamese fighting fish)
Lineage: Eukaryota; Metazoa; Chordata; Actinopteri; Anabantiformes; Osphronemidae
Source: RNAcentral